CAGGUGAGGCCCAGCUGAACUGGGGUAAGCCUUAACCUCUAUUACUAGAGAUACUCAUAAGCAGAAGAAAUCCGGAGACAGUCAUUCCAACUCUCCUUCUGUAAAGGACAUAGUCGUGUGAUGAGAGGCAGAGACGCAGAGACCCAACGAUUGCCGCAAGCCAGUCCCAGAAUGCUACAGACUUUGGAGAAAAAGCAUGGCCUUGCUGAUGCCUUGAUUUUGGACUUCUAGCUUCCAAAACCACAUGCUAACAAAUUCUUGUUGUUCAAGCCAACCCAGUCUGUGAUAUUUGUCACAGCAGCUCUGGCAGACUAAGACAAAAAGUGUUCAGAGCAAAAGGCAGUUAUGCCUUGCUCCUAAGACAUGCAGAAACACGAGACCCAUGGAAAGCUGUCUCCCGACAGUGGUCUUCAGGUCAGUGCUGAAGUUGUGCUUGCAGCUGUGGGUCACCUGGCUGUGACUCCAGCCUGCAGUUGGGGUCAGUCUGCCCAACAUGGUUCCUCUUUCUCCUUGGACCUGUGGCUACCCUGGACUUGCUUUUCUCCUGGAGGAUCACAGGAACACUCACAGGAUUUCACUGCAGGGCUGAGCAAGGAGCUCCUAGCCCUGUCCUCGGCAUCCAUCACUACAUUUGGGAUGUACCAUCUCCUCCUGAUUCUCUCAAUUCUGCGUCCUAGGGACUGAUUUCCCAGAAGCGUAAAACUUAGCGGACAAGCGUUAAGCCGAGGAGCAAGAGGACCGUUUGUGGAAUUCUCAAAGUCCCCUGGCUGCAGGGUGAAGAGGUGGCCUGAGGGCAAGGGCGAGCCGAGGAGACUGCUCUGGAGAUGAGCACAGCCGCCCUGGAGAGGGAAACGUGGCCUGCACCGAGCAGCGGCACAGACGGCAGCGGCCCAUGGGAGUGAGACCAAGGAGCGGGACCCGGAGGGCCUGCGCAGGGGAGCAGGGGGAGCCUCAAGUCUAGUGAGUGUUCACCACAGGCCAGGGGUUCACAGGCGCCCGGCCAGCCUCAGCGCUUCUCCCAUUUUAAAAACAAAGGCGUUGGGAAGCGGACUCGGCCCAGUGGUGAGGGCGUCCGCCUACCACAUGGGAGGUCCAGGGGCGGGGAAGGGGAGAGAGAAAAAUAAAAAAUAAAUCUUAAAAAAAAAGCAACACGACGAAGGCAUUGAGGCUCCGAAAGGCAGCGGGUGCUGCGAGGUGGCCCAGCUGCAGGCGGGGAGCCCACACUGAACCCUGGGGGUGUGCGCCAAGUCCCUACACGGGGCUGGGGGCACGAGGAGUCAGGACGGCGCCAGGCUUUGGAGAGCCGCCCCUCUGGAGGAGAGGUGGCGGGGGAGGGAGAAGGGGAGGAUUUCCAGCUUAGACACGCAGAGGGCGAAGUCCGACAGGCGGCGCCUCCACAGCUCGCGGCCAGGGGCUGGAGCCAGGCCGAGACCCGGGAGGUGUCCUCAGGUCAGAGAUGCUCGGGGACGCCCCGACUGCUGGGGCCUCCUCUCGGAGGCAGGAGGGCGCUACCCGCUGGGUGCCGGACCGCCUGCCAGGCUGGCUUCCCUCCGACCCUCUGCCGCCCACUGGGGGUGGCCUUGGGCAAGUGUCGCCACCUCCCUGGGCCUUGGUCACUUCAUCUGAAAAAAUGGGAAAGCGGCUGGUACCUUCCUCGAGGGGUUGUUACGAGGAUUAGCUGGGAUUAAUAUUCACGUCGUGCUGCGUGAGCACUUGUUAGGUGAAAAAGUGCAACGACUUUUGUAGGCCUUGUCCUCUGAGUGGUAAGGAAGGUUGGUCCUCUCUGGGGAGCGGGAUGGGGUCAAGAACGCGAUGACUCUUGGGGUGCUCCCCUGCUCUUACCCUCCCUGGAGGUUGAUCCCUCCCUGGAGAAGCGGGCCGGAGGUAUUCCCCUAACUCCAUUGGCUUCUUCUCCCAACGACAGCUAUGCCGGGUCUUUUGUAGCCGCUGCCUUUUUUGUGUUUUAAAUAUAUUACCACUGAGACACUUCAUUGAGGUAUAUAAGCACCUAGCAAAGUGUACAACACAACGAAAUCUCACCAACUGAGCACGCCCCGUAAUCAACCCCAGAGCAAGAGCAGGCGUGACUGCCCCCUGCUGGCCAUUCCCCAGGGAAUCCUCGAGUGUGCGCCCUGCUGAGUCUGCCUCUUUCAUCUCAACGUGACUUCUGUGAGAUUCCCUCACACCCUGAUUCUCAUGGUGUGAACGUUUCUUUCACGUGUUGUCGUUGCUCUAAAGUAUUCCAUCGCGUGAGUGAACCACUUUAUCCGUUCUUCUGUUGACGGGCAGUUGGGUGGUUUCCGGGUUGCCUGCAGUGCAUUCAGACCUGCUGAGGACGUCCUUGCA
Molecule: long non-coding RNA, 2346 nt
Organism: Dasypus novemcinctus (nine-banded armadillo)
Lineage: Eukaryota; Metazoa; Chordata; Mammalia; Cingulata; Dasypodidae
Source: Ensembl